GACGAACGCUGGCGGCGCGCUUAACACAUGCAAGUCGAGCGAGAACCAGGGCCUUCGGGCCUGGGGAAAGCGGCGAACGGGUGAGUAACACGUGGGUAACCCACCCUUGGUACCGGGAUAGCCCGAGGAAACUCGGAUUAAUACCGGAUGGCCCAACCAGCUUCUCGGAGCGGUUGGAAAAGGUAGCUUCGGCCUCCGACCAAGGACGGGCCCGCGGCGGAUUAGCUUGUUGGUGGGGUAACGGCUCACCAAGGCGACGAUCCGAGCUGGUCUGAGAGGACGAUCAGCCACACUGGGACUGAGACACGGCCCAGACUCCUACGGGAGGCAGCAGUGGGGAAUCUUGCGCAAUGGGCGAAAGCCUGACGCAGCGACGCCGCGUGGGGAAGAAGCUUUCGG
RNAcentral lists this ribosomal RNA (399 nucleotides) under uncultured bacterium. RNAcentral's name for it is "bacterial SSU rRNA". It matches the Rfam family "Bacterial small subunit ribosomal RNA", at positions 28 to 420 of the family's 1533-position model. The record is from RNAcentral.